UACGGAGGAUGCGAGCGUUAUCCGGAUUUAUUGGGUUUAAAGGGAGCGUAGGUGGACUGGUAAGUCAGUUGUGAAAGUUUGCGGCUCAACCGUAAAAUUGCAGUUGAUACUGUCAGUCUUGAGUACAGUAGAGGUGGGCGGAAUUCGUGGUGUAGCGGUGAAAUGCUUAGAUAUCACGAAGAACUCCGAUUGCGAAGGCAGCUCACUAGACUGCAACUGACACUGAGGCUCAGGUGCGAAAGCGUGGGGA
This 250-nucleotide ribosomal RNA is filed under the name uncultured bacterium. RNAcentral's name for it is "partial 16S ribosomal RNA". It matches the Rfam family "Bacterial small subunit ribosomal RNA", at positions 524 to 767 of the family's 1533-position model. The record is from RNAcentral.